UUGUCGGUGGAGUUUUACGGUCGCCAUAAAGGCGGAUUGUCCCCCCAUCCGCCAGGUGGCGCGAGUGUCUUCGUGAGGAAGAAAUACUUGCCAUUUUUUUCCAGACGCUGACUUGAAAGGGUCUUCCAAGUUGAUUGGUGUCGAUCUACAUUUUUAGCCAUUAAAUGUAAUUGGCAAUCUGGCAUAUAAUUUCACUUGGCCAAAAUGUGAUGACGUGGGUCGAAACUGCUGUCCAUUUUGUCGAAAUGUCGGCCAUUGUUAGCUCGUCAAUGUGACAACUACAAAUUCCUUUUUAAGAUUUAUCAAGCCAGGUGAAGUCUGCGCUUCUUUGUUGCAGUCUAAUGUGCGCAUGGAUUCCUUGCAGUCAUCCAGUGAAAGGUGUGAUUAAAUUGAGCUGUUGCAUGCAGUCUUUGGUGCUGAUGUUGUCCUGGAGUGUGGGAGAGUCCCAUGCUUCAAGUCUUCUGGGAUCAGCCAUAUCUGAGUUGACGCUGGAUCAUGCUGCAUUGUGGUUGCCGAAAUGUUGGACAUCUAGUAGAACUGCAAGAAGACUCCUUGAAAUG
Long non-coding RNA from Daphnia pulex (common water flea), 560 nucleotides. RefSeq lists it as uncharacterized. The record is from RefSeq and is a predicted model, not a curated record. NCBI's taxonomy places the organism in Eukaryota, Metazoa, Arthropoda, Branchiopoda, Diplostraca, Daphniidae. The transcript is spliced from 3 exons.